RNAcentral lists this unclassified non-coding RNA (214 nucleotides) under Hevea brasiliensis (rubber tree). Lineage: Eukaryota; Viridiplantae; Streptophyta; Magnoliopsida; Malpighiales; Euphorbiaceae. The record is from RNAcentral.
GUAAAAUCACUUCCAUAAAAUUAAAACUAAACAUUCCUAGACUUUUUAGUUUUUCUCUUUUGCCUUUUGUAUUCUUCGUAUAGCUGCAAAGACAAAUUGGUGCGGUCCAAUUCAGCCCUCAACCUUUCAUUGUCCUUGAUGUCCCGGAGAAGAAAGAAUCUCGUUGAGAGUUUCUCCUUCACUUCAUUUUCGUCGAUAGUGCCGUACGUAUCCA